GGCAGUGUGGCAUAGUGGUUAAGGAGUUGGGCUCGUAACCCAAAAGUUUCAUGUUUGAUUCCCGGGUGGGCCA
This is a non-coding RNA of Megalops atlanticus (tarpon), 73 nucleotides long. Lineage: Eukaryota; Metazoa; Chordata; Actinopteri; Elopiformes; Megalopidae. The record is from the annotation of a GenBank genome assembly.